RNAcentral lists this unclassified non-coding RNA (587 nucleotides) under Hevea brasiliensis (rubber tree). The record is from RNAcentral. Lineage: Eukaryota; Viridiplantae; Streptophyta; Magnoliopsida; Malpighiales; Euphorbiaceae.
UGAGUAUUGCCUUGAAUUACCCAGUUAUUGAUUGUUAUGAAUCUUGAAGGAGCUCGAGAUACAGAUAGUUCCAGUUCAAAGGUCAAAACUAGGCUUAGUUAUGCAGCUGACGAAUCAAAACCAUACGUGGAAGGGCCUGCAAAGCCUUAUGUAGAAGAAAAGGGAAUUACUGAUUCAGUCAAGGUAUAUGGCACAGCAAAAAUCCAUGACUUCUGUUUUGGGAUUCCUUAUGGUGGUCUUGUUCUAAGUGGGGGCCUUCUAGGUUUUGUAUUGUCUAGAAAUCCUACGAUCCUGAGCACAGGUGUUUUAUUUGGAGGUGCUUUGCUAGCCCUUAGCAUCUUUAGCUUGAAGAUAUGGAGGCAAGGAAAAUCUAGUAUGCCAUUUGUGCUAGGACAAGCUGUACUCUCAGCAGCCCUUUUGUGGAAGAACUUUCAGGCAUAUUUAUUGACAAAAAAACUAAUUCCAACAGGGUUUUAUGUUGUUAUCAGUGCUGCAAUGCUAUGCUUCUAUUCAUAUGUGAUCAUCUCUGGAGGAAACCCACCACCGAAAAAGUUGCAUUCUUCAACUGUUAUGUCAUGAUGAGAAUU